This 1799-nucleotide long non-coding RNA is filed under the name Nicotiana benthamiana. RNAcentral's name for it is "long non-coding RNA (NBEN_LNC036097)". Lineage: Eukaryota; Viridiplantae; Streptophyta; Magnoliopsida; Solanales; Solanaceae. The record is from RNAcentral.
GAAAAGCAUUCAACUAAAUGAACUACGGAUAUUCAUAUUUAACUGAGAAGGGAUGAAGUAUCACAACCACGUCACAGGAAUCGUACCCGUAGUCGUUAUCGAUUUACUUCCUAAAUUAAAUUGAGAUGUUUACCAAAGGACAGGAGUUAUGGGAUCACAUUGGGGCAAAUUGUAUCUGAAACGAAAAGGUCUAAAAAAAACAAAGUCACAAUAUGAUAAAGCACAAAUCACUGACUUCAUGUUUUAUAUCAGGCACAACGUGAUGUAUAUAACAAUCAAACACAUAUUGAUCUGCACACACAUUACAGAAUAAACAUCCCAAACCUUGCACACUUAAUAACAAACCAAAUCAAUACUAACCACAUCUGGAAGAAAUCCGAGGUAAAAGAUCAAAUCAUUUCACAAAUUUUUUAUCCCUAUUUACCAAAAGACAGUAUAUAUCAAAACAAGUAGAAACCCCACAUCAGAUAUCAAUACUACAACACUCAUGAAACUUUAAACAAAAUAGUCACAAAUGGUCCUAAAUUGUCUACUUUAUCCAUUCCAAACAAAACUAAAAUCAAUUGCUAACGUGGUCUACGGUACACUCGUUCUAAAAUGCUAAUGCAAAUAAAGGUAAAGCAAGUUAAAUGGAAUAAACUAUCUUUUAGUAAAGAAGAUUAAACGAAAACCAUGAAAUCUACUCCGAUACAGUCGUUCUAAAAUGCUAAUGCAAAUCAAGGUAAAGCAAGUAAGUUAAAUGGAAUAAACUAUCUGUUAGUAAAGAAGAUUAAAAGAAAACCAUGGAAUCUCCUCCCUUGCCGUGAAACAGAGCGAGCCAAAUGUUUAACAGAUAAUCCACUUCUUUGUACAAAUUCUAGAUCCCAAACAACCACAAGAACAGUAGUAUCUACGAUCCAUACGAAUAAAACCUGAUUUCGAACUCAAGAUACUCAUAUCAAUUUGGCAGUGGUAUUCGUAAAAAAACAAUUCCAUUUAUAAGCAUAAAACAAAUUACAUCAAUAUGAGAACAUACAUUUCAGGGACUCAUAAGAAGCAGGUAGGCGAAAUACCUCGAUAGCAAUACUACAGCUUGAGAUUAACCAAAUGAAUUCUGAAAUAAUGGGGUGAAACUCGACGCGUUCAAGCAGGAUGCUCGACAACAGUAGCAGCAGCAAUUUGAGACCCAAUUAACCAACAGCUUUCAAUGGUGUCCAGAAAAUAUGCAACAGUAGAAUGAAAUCCAACACCAGUUUUAAAUCUCCCUUUUUAGAUCUAGUUGUGCGAAAAUUGGCUAAAAACACCAAAUGAAUAGACAAAUGGACCAAAUGAAGCUCAACAAGACAGCAACUCCAUGGCUGAAAACCUUUAGGAAACCCAGACAGAAGGGAAAAUUUCGAAAUCAGUCCCCUUCAAACCCCAUUGAAAAUUCCAGUUUUCUCAUUUCUCUUGUUUCAACAAUUUCGUGUGUGCUUCUGAUUUUUCCUUCGAUCGAGUUUUUGUUUUUUCUUUUUUUUUUUAAAUUUUUGAGUGAGGUUAGAGAUGGGUGGCUACGGUUUUUUGGUCAGUUCUUUUUUUCUUGAUUUUUGAGUGAGAUUAGAGAUGGGUGGCUAAGGUUUUUUGGUUAGAGGAGGGGUUCUCUUUUUCCCUUUGUAGAGAGGGGUGUCCUUCUCUCUAUUUCUGGGAGCCAAUUUUGGUGUGUGUGAGAUCUCCCCCUGAGAAUUGAGAAGAAGGAAAGGGUAAAUAGCUGGUAUCCAACAUUGGAGAAGGGAGCAUGCUAUUUCCGUGUCUCUAAGGGGAAGGAGUUCGGACCGGGUCAG